GAAUUCCUUACAGCAAUCAUUAAUGAAUGUUCAUCUUGAGAGACCCACGUGGUUUUUCCCGGUAAAAUUGGAUUCUG
This 77-nucleotide non-coding RNA is filed under the name Dictyostelium purpureum. Lineage: Eukaryota; Evosea; Eumycetozoa; Dictyosteliales; Dictyosteliaceae. The record is from Rfam by way of RNAcentral.